GAUGAACGCUGGCGGCGUGCCUAAUACAUGCAAGUCGAGCGAACGGACGAGAAGCUUGCUUCUCUGAUGUUAGCGGCGGACGGGUGAGUAACACGUGGAUAACCUACCUAUAAGACUGGGAUAACUUCGGGAAACCGGAGCUAAUACCGGAUGAUAUUUUGAACCGCAUGGUUCAAAAGUGAAAGACGGUCUUGCUGUCACUUAUAGAUGGAUCCGCGCUGCAUUAGCUAGUUGGUAAGGUAACGGCUUACCAAGGCAACGAUGCAUAGCCGACCUGAGAGGGUGAUCGGCCACACUGGAACUGAGACACGGUCCAGACUACUACGGGAGGCAGCAGUAGGGAAUCUUCCGCAAUGGGCGAAAGCCUGACGGAGCAACGCCGCGUGAGUGAUGAAGGUCUUCGGAUCGUAAAACUCUGUUAUUAGGGAAGAACAUAUGUGUAAGUAACUGUGCACAUCUUGACGGUACCUAAUCAGAAAGCCACGGCUAACUACGUG
RNAcentral lists this ribosomal RNA (497 nucleotides) under uncultured bacterium. RNAcentral's name for it is "partial 16S ribosomal RNA". It matches the Rfam family "Bacterial small subunit ribosomal RNA", at positions 28 to 507 of the family's 1533-position model. The record is from RNAcentral.